This 253-nucleotide ribosomal RNA is filed under the name uncultured bacterium. RNAcentral's name for it is "partial 16S ribosomal RNA". It matches the Rfam family "Bacterial small subunit ribosomal RNA", at positions 524 to 776 of the family's 1533-position model. The record is from RNAcentral.
UACGGAGGGAGCUAGCGUUGUUCGGAAUUACUGGGCGUAAAGCGCGCGUAGGCGGCUUUGUAAGUUAGAGGUGAAAGCCCGGGGCUCAACUCCGGAACUGCCUUUAAGACUGCAUCGCUUGAAUCCGGGAGAGGUGAGUGGAAUUCCGAGUGUAGAGGUGAAAUUCGUAGAUAUUCGGAAGAACACCGGUGGCGAAGGCGGCUACCUGGACAGAGUCUGACGCUGAGGCGCGAAAGCUAGGGGAGCAAACAGG